AACGAACGCUGGCGGCAGGCUUAACACAUGCAAGUCGAGCGCCCCGCAAGGGGAGCGGCAGACGGGUGAGUAACGCGUGGGAAUCUACCCUUUUCUACGGAAUAACGCAGGGAAACUUGUGCUAAUACCGUAUGAGCCCUUCGGGGGAAAGAUUUAUCGGGAAAGGAUGAGCCCGCGUUGGAUUAGCUAGUUGGUGGGGU
This 200-nucleotide ribosomal RNA is filed under the name uncultured bacterium. RNAcentral describes it as "partial 16S ribosomal RNA". It matches the Rfam family "Bacterial small subunit ribosomal RNA", at positions 29 to 258 of the family's 1533-position model. The record is from RNAcentral.